Molecule: ribosomal RNA, 774 nt
Filed under: uncultured Neocallimastigales
Lineage: Eukaryota; Fungi; Neocallimastigomycota; Neocallimastigomycetes; Neocallimastigales
Description: partial large subunit ribosomal RNA
Rfam family: Eukaryotic large subunit ribosomal RNA
Source: RNAcentral
CGUCUAUAUACGUAUAGCAUAUCAAUAAGCGGAGGAAAAGAAACUAACUAGGAUUCCCUCAGUAACGGCGAGUGAAGCGGGAAGAGUUCAAAUUUGAAAUCUUCAAGGUUCUACCUUGACGAAUUGUAGUUUAAAGAAGUGUUUUCUGUUGGAGUUUCGGUAAAAGUUCUUUGGAAUAGGACAUCAUAGAGGGUGAGAAUCCCGUAUUUGACCAUUAUUUCCAACUUUGUGAUACACUUUCAAAGAGUCGGAUUGUUUGGGAAUGCAGUCCAAAAUGGGUGGUAAAUUUCAUCUAAAGCUAAAUACUGGCGAGAGACCGAUAGCGAACAAGUACCGUGAGGGAAAGAUGAAAAGAACUUUGAAAAGAGAGUUAAACAGUACGUGAAAUUGUCAAAAGGGAAGCGUUUGACACCAGUGUUGUUUUCUCGAAAAUCAAUUAAAAAUGGCAGGAUUUUGUGUUGUAUUGACUUUAUCAGCUUUCUGCACUUUUUUCCUGUCUUUUUUAAUGCACUUUUCGUUUAACAAGUCAACAUCAAUUUCUUUUGUUGUAAAAGAGUCAUUGGAAGGUGGCUUUCUUUUCGGAGAAAGUGUUUAUAGCCUUUGACUUCUGCAGUCGGAGAGAUUGAGGUCUGCAGCGUAGAUCCUUCGGGGUUAGAUACAUUUGUGCUAAGUUAUAGCCUUUCAUAGACAACUUGUUGACUAUGAUCAGUCAUGUAGCUUACUCGCUUAUGUCAUUUUACCUACGCUUAGGAUGUUGACGAUCAGCUGAGCGCG